This 491-nucleotide ribosomal RNA is filed under the name uncultured bacterium. RNAcentral describes it as "partial 16S ribosomal RNA". It matches the Rfam family "Bacterial small subunit ribosomal RNA", at positions 28 to 523 of the family's 1533-position model. The record is from RNAcentral.
GAUGAACGCUGACAGAAUGCUUAACACAUGCAAGUCUACCAAGAAUCACUUCGGUGAGGAAUGGUGGCGGACGGGUGAGUAACGCGUAAAUAAUCUGCCCUAUGCAGGGGGAUAACAACGAGAAAUCGUUGCUAAUACCGCAUAACAAAGAAGAAUCGCAUGAUUAUUCUUUCAAAGAUUUAUCGGCAUAGGAUGGACCCGCGUUGGAUUAGCUAGUUGGUGAGAUAACAGCCCACCAAGGCGACGAUCCAUAGCCGGCCUGAGAGGGUGAACGGCCACACUGGGACUGAGACACGGCCCAGACUCCUACGGGAGGCAGCAGUGGGGAAUAUUGCACAAUGGGCGCAAGCCUGAUGCAGCGACGCCGCGUGAAGGAUGAAGGUCUUCGGAUUGUAAACUUCUAUCAGCAGGGAAGAAGGAGUGUUUUCGGACACUUUUGACGGUACCUGACUAAGAAGCACCGGCUAACUACGUGCCAGCAGCCGCAGUAA